GCAUGCAUCCAAUGCGCACUUCAGAAUCUCACCGGAUGUAGUACUGUAGGUCAUUCGGUUACUUCUCGCAUACUGUUUUUCAACUACUAUAAACUCUGACAUACUACUCAGUUAGCACACUGUUUUUAGCAUACUCACUAGUAGGUACUACAUCUGAAUGUAAAUGUACUACUCGGCUUUUAAAAAAGUACGUUCUAUAAAGAAUGAAUGUCAGAAGUAUAAAUGGAACUGGGAUGUACUACAUCCACCAUUUUGUCAUGAUCACGUGACCUACGUUGCUUCGCGUGAUUUUUUUUCCCAAACCUGUUCAGCGCAAACCACGCCCCUACGCUAAAACCCCACCCCGCAGCUGAGACACGCGCGAUUUCAUUGGGCAACGUUGUUACUUGUCGUCUGAGAAAGAAGUUCAGAGUGCACAUCAAUCAAGUUCGUCUCUAAUGGAUCUAUCGUUGACAAAGGGUAAACACUUCUUGCUUAAUAAUGUUUAAUAUUAAUAAUUUAUUCAUGGAGAUGUGAGUUGUAUGUUUUUUUAUAGUGUUCAUUUUAUUUAUUUUAUCUUUAUUUUAUCAUUUUCGAUCGCCCUCAGGAGAGUAAGUUACGAUUGUAGUCCCAAAGACCAAGCUGCGGAUCUAAAGGUGCCAGCACAAUGUUCAUGUUCGAUCAGGCAUGGCUUGUCAACAACGGCUGUCCAAAAAUAUGCUGUGGGGCAAAAAGGGUUUGCACUUUGGUAAAGACUGUAGACAAAAGGGGAGGAUCAAGUAGGAACAAUGAUCCCCAUAUUCCCACUUACUCAACCUCUGUGCGCUUGUACAAUGUGCAUUGAGGCACAAGGUUGUAGGGGUCACUGUAGUUGCCACCACUGCAAGAGUUAACGCUGUUGAGAUGCCACCAUGUCAGAGCCUGAGCUGCCAGUUGCCACCAGAGCUAUUGCUGCCACAUGCACCAGAGUUACUGUCAACAGAAAAGCUCACAAAGCCUCAACCACAUUCAGACCCAUUCCAGCAAAACUGCCAGAGCCCGUGGUGCUAGAGCUGGCAGAUCUGCUGCUGCCAUAGCCAACGCUUCCAGAGCCACUGAUGCCACCAACUAAGCUCCAGGAUUGGCCACCUCUGCAAAAGCCAACUAGCCUAUCAGAGCCACUCUACCUAUUUCUAAAGUGAGGACAAUUUAUGCUUUAUAAAUGCCUAAUAAAUGACAAUUAAAGGCUCAGUGUCAAAUGAACAGUACAUCUUUGUAAUCCUAUCUAAAAAAUAAAAUUACUGUAAAGUUUAAACAUUGCAGAAUAACAGGAGUGUCAAAAUACGACAUAAAAUUGGAUAAAAAAACAACAACAAUAUAAUAAUUUAACAAUAUAUUAUGAUACAACAUUAUAAUGUUAUUUAGCGAAGUUUAAACUGUACGGUAACUUUAUUUUAGUUAAGAUUGCAAAAAUGUAUUUUUCAUUUGAUACAGAUUCAUUUAUGUAUCUUUAAAUGAUAAGAAAUAAAUCAAGUCGUGUUUUUUCCCCUGUUUAGAAGAUAACUGAGCCUUUAAUAGUUAUUUAUAAGGGAUUUAUAAAGCAUAAAUAGUCCUCACUUUAGAUUAGGUCACAAAACUGGAUGAAGUUAAAAUACUAAAGCAUUUAUUAACAUACAAAUUAAUUAUUAGUAUAUGCCUGAAUAAUAAGAUAUAUAAAUGUUAAUUUGAAUGGUUUAUUAUUUACUUAUGCGUUCUAAAUGAUCUUUAAAAGCCACAAAGUACUCUCAAAUAAUUGGUUUGUAAAUGAUACAAUACUUAAGUAUUGAAAAAAUUAUUAUUAACAAAGUAUGAAAAUACAAUCAUUAAGCACAUUAUAGAUGUGCUUAUAAAUCAAGAAUAGAGCAUUUGUAUCUGUAGUUACA
Molecule: non-coding RNA, 1880 nt
Organism: Danio rerio (zebrafish)
Lineage: Eukaryota; Metazoa; Chordata; Actinopteri; Cypriniformes; Danionidae
Source: RefSeq, a predicted model, not a curated record